AGAGUUUGAUCCUGGCUCAGGACGAACGCUGGCGGCGUGCCUAACACAUGCAAGUCGAGCGAUGAAGUUUCCUUCGGGAAACGGAUUAGCGGCGGACGGGUGAGUAGCACGUGGGUAACCUGCCUUAUAGUGGGGGAUAGCCUUUCGAAAGGAAGAUUAAUACCGCAUAAGAUUGUAGUAUCGCAUGAUAUAGCAAUUAAAGGAGCAAUCCGCUAUAAGAUGGACCCGCGUCGCAUUAGCUAGUUGGUGAGGUAAUGGCUCACCAAGGCGACGAUGCGUAGCCGACCUGAGAGGGUGAUCGGCCACAUUGGGACUGAGACACGGCCCAGACUCCUACGGGAGGCAGCAGUGGGGAAUAUUGCACAAUAGGCGAAAGCCUGAUGCAGCAACGCCGCGUGAGUGAUGACGGCCUUCGGGUUGUAAAACUCUGUCUUCAGGGACGAUAAUGACGGUACCUGAGG
This 461-nucleotide ribosomal RNA is filed under the name uncultured Clostridium sp. RNAcentral describes it as "bacterial SSU rRNA". It matches the Rfam family "Bacterial small subunit ribosomal RNA", at positions 8 to 484 of the family's 1533-position model. The record is from RNAcentral. Lineage: Bacteria; Bacillati; Bacillota; Clostridia; Eubacteriales; Clostridiaceae.